This 542-nucleotide long non-coding RNA is filed under the name Ananas comosus (pineapple). RNAcentral's name for it is "long non-coding RNA (ACOM_LNC022024)". Lineage: Eukaryota; Viridiplantae; Streptophyta; Magnoliopsida; Poales; Bromeliaceae. The record is from RNAcentral.
UAUUCCAAAUUUUUAUUUAUAAAAUUAAGUUUAAGCAGCGAAUAAUUGACCAUAUUUAGAAAAUAAUAAAUUAUUCAUCGUUUUCAUAUAUUUUUCACACUGGAACUUCGAAAAAUAUAUAAAUUAAACACUAAUUUUAUUUUAACAUGAUUAAAAAAUAGUAAAAAUUUACCGUAUUUAAAAAUAAAUUAUUCACCAUAUAAAAUUAAUUUUAUAAAUAAUUUUUUAAAUAUUAUUUUUAUAAUUCUAAUAUUUUAAAGUCUGUAAAUAAAAAGAGUAAACUUUAAAUACCACCCUUGUGGUUUCAAACUUUCUCAUUUUAAUAUCAUGUGGUUUAAAUUAAGUAUAUCAAUUUAGUGUUUUGUAGUUUCAUUUCUCUCAUUUUGUCAGUUUCUUCGUUAAUAUUGUGUUAAAUUAUAUACCAAAAACUUUAGAUACCCACUUAAAUUUAUUGAAUACUAUAAAAUACUAAAUUAAUAUACUUUAAAUUAUAAAAUACUAAAGUGAAAAAAUACUACAUGACACAUAUGGUAUUUGAAGUU